Molecule: ribosomal RNA, 404 nt
Filed under: uncultured Hyphomicrobiales bacterium
Lineage: Bacteria; Pseudomonadati; Pseudomonadota; Alphaproteobacteria; Hyphomicrobiales
Description: bacterial SSU rRNA
Rfam family: Bacterial small subunit ribosomal RNA
Source: RNAcentral
UGGGGAAUAUUGGACAAUGGGCGCAAGCCUGAUCCAGCCAUGCCGCGUGAGUGAUGAAGGCCCUAGGGUUGUAAAGCUCUUUCGGCGGGGACGAUAAUGACGGUACCCGCAGAAGAAGCCCCGGCUAACUUCGUGCCAGCAGCCGCGGUGAUACGAAGGGGGCUAGCGUUGUUCGGAAUCACUGGGCGUAAAGCGCACGUAGGCGGACUGUUAAGUCGGAGGUGAAAUCCUGGGGCUCAACCCCAGAACUGCCUUCGAUACUGGCAAUCUAGAGUGUGGAAGAGGUUGGUGGAACUCCGAGUGUAGAGGUGAAAUUCGUAGAUAUUCGGAAGAACACCAGUGGCGAAGGCGGCCAACUGGUCCAUUACUGACGCUGAGGUGCGAAAGCGUGGGGAGCAAACAGG